UUUUUGUCUAUUUUUUUUUUUUUUUUUUUUUUUUUAAGGUGAUCGCACAAUGUCUCUGCUGUGUCUUUAAAAACAAUAAUAAUUUUUAUAGCAUUUUUUUUGUAGGUGUACUACAGGGUUAACCCAUCAGCAAAUGAAGAACAUUCAAACUCUGAAGUUCAGAUUGGGUUUGUUAUUAUUAUUAUUAUUAUUGCAUGUUGGUAUGGAAUACUUAAUUCUGAUUGUCAAUUAUAGCAUCUAGCAGUCAAAAAUUCAGAAAAGUAAAGGGUUUUUUUUUUUUUUUUUUUUUUUUUUAAGGGAGGACUUUGUGGUUGUAACAGACACAGAGGAAGAACCGGUUAUGUUGGGCUCUCCUGAUUACACCAAUACAGACUCUGUGAGUACAUACUAACCAGGCACUUUAGAUGAAAUGUAUAGCUAACAAUAACAAUUAUGUUACAUUUCUCAACCUUUAUUUAGGAAGAAGCAGAUUUGGCUGACAUUCUGAGAUCAUUCCAGAAAGACACUGAAAAUUGUGCCAUUGUUGUUGCAAGACGGUCAAAAAUUCUUCACAGUGCCUGUCAAGCUCUGUCAAAGAGCUACUUUGCUUGGCACAGAACUCCACGAAUUGAGUUUGUUGGAGAGUCUGCUGAAGAUCAUGGUGGGCCACAAAGAGAGUUCUUUAGGCUCUUAAUGAUCGCAAGCAAGCAAGGCCAGGUUUUUUUUGCCUACAACCAGUCAGCCUUAGAACAGAACCGGUUUUACACAUGUGGAAAACUCAUUGCUUGGUCACUGAUUCAUGGAGGCCAAGCAUUAAAGCCCUUCAUCCAGCUUUGUAUUUGUUGAUGUGUGGACAGGAAGGGCAGUUGGAUAGGUUUGAUUUUCAGGACUUGCCUGAUGAUGAAGUGCAGUUAAAGUUGCAACAGAUCAAGCAGUGCAAAAGUGUGGGAGACCUAAUUUCACUGAAGGCCUCUCUUGGAGACUGGAUUGCAGAAUGUGGGGUACCCUGGAUCUACAAUGCUGGCCUUCCUGAAAUGCCCAGAGUUUACAGCAUGGUCAUUAAACACUUCAUUUAUCUUAGGCCUGCUAGCAUGAUUUUACAGUUUAAGGCAGGAAUUAAUUCAUGUGGAUCCCUUUGGCAGACAGUGGAAAACAACUGGAUGGCAUUCAAGCCUCUGUUCACUAACACACAGAAGCCACUGACGAGAAAUGAGUUCAAAGACCUUCUUGUUGUGAACUGGAGUGAUGAAGGCAGCAACCACAGACAGAUUGAAGAGGACACCAUCUUUGCUUGGGAAUGUUUACUCAACAGCAUUCAGGAAAAAGAGACCUCUCUGAUGUUUGAGGAUCUUCAUGACCGGUGCUGAUGCUGUCCCUCCUCUUGGCUUUCCCAAAAAAGCUGAAAUUGACUUCUACACUCAAGAAGACGGAUGCCGGAGACUGCCUUAUGCAUCAACAUGCUCAAUGGUGGUUUUCCUUCCAAGAGGGGUACUUGAUGAAUCAGAGUUACAAAACCUGCUGAUAGAUGCAGUAAAAGGCUCAGUUGGGUUUGGAAAAAUUUAGAUCUGUUAUAAUAUUCUUUAUUAUUUUGCUCUGGAUCAUGUUCUUCAUCAUGCUGCCCUGAUUUUCCAAAUGUUCAAUAUAUUAGAGAGUAAUAGUUAACCGUAAAAUGAAAAUGAUCCCAUAAUUUAUUCAUCCUAGUUGUAUAGGACUUUCUUCUUUCAGCCGAACACAA
Molecule: long non-coding RNA, 1714 nt
Organism: Ctenopharyngodon idella (grass carp)
Lineage: Eukaryota; Metazoa; Chordata; Actinopteri; Cypriniformes; Xenocyprididae
Exons: 5
Source: RefSeq, a predicted model, not a curated record